UUUGUUUUCUUAAAAACCAUUUUCACCAAAAUAUCCCACGAGCGUCGAGCUCACCAUUGAUUCUCUCUCCAAUGGCCGCCGCCGCCGCCGCCGCUUCCCUUGUUCUCGCCUUCCGCCUUCCCGUCACCAUCUUCUCAUCUCUUCGUUCUCUCCGAUCCUCCUCCUCCCUCCCUCUCGCUUCUCCUCGUCUCUCCUUUCGCUCCUUCUGUUCCUCCGCCUCCUCCUCCUCAGCUCUCACCUCCUCUUCAUCUCUCUCCACCGGCUUGCUCCACGAUUCAAACGAAGACGAGGAGGUACCAGGAUCACAAAUCUUGGAAACCGAGCCUCAACCAGAGCCUGAGCCUGUGCUUGUUUGUGCUUCAUCGCCCCCGCCGAAGCUAAGCGUGAAGGAGAAGAAGGAGCUUGCCUCGUACGCUCAUAGCCUAGGCAAGAAGCUCAAGUCCCAGCAGGUCGGUAAGUCCGGCGUCACCCCUUCUGUCGCUGCCUCCUUCAUCGAGACUCUUGAGGCCAACGAGCUCCUCAAGCUCAAAGUGCACGGAAGCUGUCCCGGAGAGUUAUCUGAGGUGAUAUCUCAACUGGAGAAUGCAACUGGAUCUGUGGCUGUUGGUCAGAUUGGACGAACAGUGAUCCUUUACCGGCCUAGCAUCAGCAAGAUGAAAAAGAGAGAGGCUGAGAUUACCAGAUCGAACUCAAAACCAAGAGAAUUUGAUACUGUUUAUUCAAGGGCGCAAAAGAGAGGUCAAUUUCGCAGAGCCUCAUUGCAACAUCUGAGCGAAGCUGCGUAGUAUGAUGUUCUUCUCCUCGGUUGUUCAUGUUGAACUUAGUUCAAUCACGGCUCACAACUGCUAAGAUAAUUUUCACAAGGUCAUCGCACAAGUAUACAUGAUAACAUGAAGUGCAGGAUGUUCAAGUUGGAAGGCUUGUAAGGUCUAGUUAAUUCCUGGUUUGUGAUGGAGUUGAUUAAGCCUCAUUAGAAAUCCAUGCUGUGUUAAGUAUAAUAUGCAAAAUUCAUUAUAUGAAAGUUAUGUAAUAAAUUGGAAAUUUUGGAAUUUAAGAAAUCUAACAUAAAAGGAGAAUAUUUUUUUUAUGUC
RNA transcript from Dioscorea cayenensis subsp. rotundata (Guinea yam), 1091 nucleotides. RefSeq lists it as uncharacterized. The record is from RefSeq and is a predicted model, not a curated record. The transcript is spliced from 3 exons. NCBI's taxonomy places the organism in Eukaryota, Viridiplantae, Streptophyta, Magnoliopsida, Dioscoreales, Dioscoreaceae.